UUCGGAGCCGUCGGCGUGUUCCUAGUGGCACCCACCGCCUGGGGUAUGGCACGCCCGGGCGCCGCAGGGCCCCGAGCCCUCGCUGCACUGGAGGGCCCUACCCGUCCUCGCCCAGCUCUCCGCGCCCGGCCGCUCCCGCCUCCCGAGGCCACGGCUCCGAGCCUUGCGUGCGGCGAGGCGAGAGCGCGCACCCCGCCGCCAUCUUAGGGCCGCGAUGCGGGCUGUGCGGGGCGCGCGGUCUCCCGGUCUCACCGCGGCGGCGCGCAGCGGGGAGGUCGGGGGGCCACCGCUCCGGAGCGGAGCGGCGCGGGGAUCACUCCCUGCCUACGGGGCGGGAUCACGGGCUUGUGAGCAGCAGACUGCCCGCCCUGGAAGGUGUGUGAAGGCGCGGCAGCCACUCCGCCAGAGGCGCUGAGGGCGGGUACCCUACACCUGUCCGAGGUGGCACCCAGAUCCCCAACAUGUUUAGAGGACUUGGAGAAACAUAUAAAUCCUGCUUGAUGAAUACAAUACAAUGGCCUUGAAAUAUAAAGGAAAACUGUAUUUAACACUA
Molecule: long non-coding RNA, 553 nt
Organism: Eptesicus fuscus (big brown bat)
Lineage: Eukaryota; Metazoa; Chordata; Mammalia; Chiroptera; Vespertilionidae
Exons: 2
Source: RefSeq, a predicted model, not a curated record